This 1360-nucleotide ribosomal RNA is filed under the name metagenome. RNAcentral's name for it is "bacterial LSU rRNA". It matches the Rfam family "Bacterial large subunit ribosomal RNA", at positions 1576 to 2925 of the family's 2925-position model. The record is from RNAcentral.
CCCUUGGUAAUCGUAAGAGUGAUCCUAUGCUGCCUAGAAAAGCUUCGUGAGCGAGAUAUUAGCCGCCCGUACCCCAAACCGACACAGGUGGAUAGGUAGAGAAUACUAAGGCGAUCGAGAUAACCAUGGUGAAGGAACUCGGCAAAAUACCCCCGUAACUUCGGAAUAAGGGGGACCUGAGACGUAUUAGAAUUUACUUCGAAAGCGUCGAGGGUCGCAGAGACCAGGCCCAAGCGACUGUUUACUAAAAACACAGGUCCGUGCUAAGUCGUAAGACGAUGUAUACGGACUGACUCCUGCCCGGUGCUGGAAGGUUAAGGGGAAGGGUUAGCUUCGGCGAAGCCUUGAACUUAAGCCCCAGUAAACGGCGGUGGUAACUAUAACCAUCCUAAGGUAGCGAAAUUCCUUGUCGGGUAAGUUCCGACCUGCACGAAUGGAGUAACGACUUGGGCGCUGUCUCCACCAUGGACUCGGCGGAAUUGCACUACGAGUAAAGAUGCUCGUUACGCGCAGCAGGACGGAAAGACCCCGGGACCUUCACUAUAGUUUGGUAUUGGUGAUCGGAGUGACUUGUGUAGGAUAGGUGGGAGACUUUGAAGCUUGGACGCCAGUUCAGGUGGAGUCAUCGUUGAAAUACCACUCUGGUCACUUUGGUUAUCUAACCUAGGUCCAUUAUCUGGAUCAGGGACAGUGCCUGAUGGGUAGUUUGACUGGGGCGGUCGCCUCCUAAAAGGUAACGGAGGCGCCCAAAGGUUCCCUCAGCCUGGUUGGCAAUCAGGUUUCGAGUGUAAGUGCACAAGGGAGCUUGACUGCGAGAGAGACAUCUCAAGCAGGGACGAAAGUCGGGACUAGUGAUCUUCUGGUGGCACAUGGAAGCGCCAGGACUCAACGGAUAAAAGGUACCCCGGGGAUAACAGGCUGAUCUUGCCCGAGCGUCCAUAGCGACGGCAUGGUUUGGCACCUCGAUGUCGGCUCGUCGCAUCCUGGGGCUGGAGUCGGUCCCAAGGGUUGGGCUGUUCGCCCAUUAAAGCGGCACGCGAGCUGGGUUUAGAACGUCGUGAGACAGUUCGGUCCCUAUCCGCUGCGCGCGUAGGAGUCUUGAGAAGAGCUGUCCUUAGUACGAGAGGACCGGGACGGACUAACCUCUGGUGUGCCAGUUGUUCUACCAAGAGCACGGCUGGUUGGCUACGUUGGGAAGUGAUAACCGCUGAAAGCAUCUAAGCGGGAAGCACGCUUCAAGAUGAGGGCUCCCACAGAAUAAUCGGGUAAGGCCCCCUAUAGACCAUGGGGUGAUAGGUCGGAUGUGGAAGUGCAGCAAUGCACGGAGCUGACCGAUACUAAUAGGCCGAGGGCUUGUUCU